RNAcentral lists this ribosomal RNA (254 nucleotides) under uncultured bacterium. Its description in RNAcentral is "partial 16S ribosomal RNA". It matches the Rfam family "Bacterial small subunit ribosomal RNA", at positions 524 to 776 of the family's 1533-position model. The record is from RNAcentral.
UACGGGGGGAGCAAGCGUUGUUCGGAUUUACUGGGCGUAAAGGGCGCGUAGGCGGCCAGCACAAGUCAGUUGUGAAAUCUCCGGGCUUAACUCGGAAAGGUCAACUGAUACUGUGCGGCUAGAGUGCAGAAGGGGCAACUGGAAUUCUCGGUGUAGCGGUGAAAUGCGCAGAUAUCGGGAGGAACACCGGUGGCGAAGGCGGUUCUCUGGGACGGUACUGACGCUGAGGCGCGAAAGCGUGGGGAGCAAACAGG